This 450-nucleotide ribosomal RNA is filed under the name uncultured bacterium. Its description in RNAcentral is "partial 16S ribosomal RNA". It matches the Rfam family "Bacterial small subunit ribosomal RNA", at positions 354 to 796 of the family's 1533-position model. The record is from RNAcentral.
GUGGGGAAUUUUGGACAAUGGGCGCAAGCCUGAUCCAGCAAUGCCGCGUGCAGGAAGAAGGCCUUCGGGUUGUAAACUGCUUUUGUACGGAACGAAACGGUCCUGGUUAAUACCUGGGGCUAAUGACGGUACCGUAAGAAUAAGCACCGGCUAACUACGUGCCAGCAGCCGCGGUAAUACGUAGGGUGCAAGCGUUAAUCGGAAUUACUGGGCGUAAAGCGUGCGCAGGCGGUUUUGUAAGACAGGCGUGAAAUCCCCGGGCUCAACCUGGGAAUUGCGCUUGUGACUGCAAGGCUGGAGUGCGGCAGAGGGGGAUGGAAUUCUGCGUGUAGCAGUGAAAUGCGUAGAUAUGCGGAGGAACACCGAUGGCGAAGGCAAUCCCCUGGGCCUGCACUGACGCUCAUGCACGAAAGCGUGGGGAGCAAACAGGAUUAGAAACCCUGGUAGUCC